CCUACGGGAGGCAGCAGUGGGGGAUAUUGCACAAUGGGGGAAACCCUGAUGCAGCGACGCCGCGUGUGGGAAGACGGUCUUCUGGAUUGUAAACCACUGUCCCCAGGGACGAAAAUGACGGUACCUGGGGAGGAAGCUCCGGCUAACUACGUGCCAGCAGCCGCGGUAAUACGUAGGGCGCAAGAGUUGUCCGGAAUUACUAGGUGUAAAGGGAGCGUAGGCGGGGAUGCAAGGUGGGUGUCAAAACUACCGGCUCAACCGAUAGUCGCACUCAAAACCGCAGCUCUUGAGUGAAGUAGAGGCAGGCGGAAUUCAUAGUGUAGCGGUGAAAUGCGUAGAUAUUAGGAGGAACACCAGUGGCGAAGGCGGCCUGCUGGGCUUUUACUGACGCUGAGGCUCGAAAGUGUGGGGAGCAAACAGGAUUAGAUACCCCAGUAGUC
This 440-nucleotide ribosomal RNA is filed under the name uncultured bacterium. RNAcentral's name for it is "partial 16S ribosomal RNA". It matches the Rfam family "Bacterial small subunit ribosomal RNA", at positions 338 to 795 of the family's 1533-position model. The record is from RNAcentral.